GCGCGCUUAGCUCAGUGGUAGAGCAUCGUCUUGACGUGACGAGGGCCGGGGGUUCGAUCCCCUCAGCGCGCACCG
This 75-nucleotide transfer RNA is filed under the name Parcubacteria group bacterium RIFCSPHIGHO2_01_FULL_56_18. RNAcentral describes it as "tRNA-Val". It matches the Rfam family "tRNA". From Rfam's summary of the family: Transfer RNA (tRNA) molecules are approximately 80 nucleotides in length. Their secondary structure includes four short double-helical elements and three loops (D, anti-codon, and T loops). The record is from RNAcentral.